UGCUGGAGGUAUCAGAAGUGCGAAUGCUGACAUAAGUAACGAUAAAGCGGGUGAAAAGCCCGCUCGCCGGAAGACCAAGGGUUCCUGUCCAACGUUAAUCGGGGCAGGGUGAGUCGACCCCUAAGGCGAGGCCGAAAGGCGUAGUCGAUGGGAAACAGGUUAAUAUUCCUGUACUUGGUGUUACUGCGAAGGGGGGACGGAGAAGGCUAUGUUAGCCGGGCGACGGUUGUCCCGGUUUAAGCAUGUAGGCUGGUUAUCCAGGCAAAUCCGGAUAAUCAAGGCUGAGGUGUGAUGACGAGGCACUACGGUGCUGAAGUAACAAAUGCCCUGCUUCCAGGAAAAGCCUCUAAGCAUCAGGUAACAUCAAAUCGUACCCCAAACCGACACAGGUGGUCAGGUAGAGAAUACCAAGGCGCUUGAGAGAACUCGGGUGAAGGAACUAGGCAAAAUGGUGCCGUAACUUCGGGAGAAGGCACGCUGGUGUGUAGGUGAAGUCCCUGCGGAUGGAGCUGAGACCAGUCGAAGAUACCAGCUGGCUGCAACUGUUUAUUAAAAACACAGCACUGUGCAAACACGAAAGUGGACGUAUACGGUGUGACGCCUGCCCGGUGCCGGAAGGUUAAUUGAUGGGGUUAUCCGUAAGGAGAAGCUCUUGAUCGAAGCCCCGGUAAACGGCGGCCGUAACUAUAACGGUCCUAAGGUAGCGAAAUUCCUUGUCGGGUAAGUUCCGACCUGCACGAAUGGCGUAAUGAUGGCCAGGCUGUCUCCACCCGAGACUCAGUGAAAUUGAACUCGCUGUGAAGAUGCAGUGUACCCGCGGCAAGACGGAAAGACCCCGUGAACCUUUACUAUAGCUUGACACUGAACAUUGAGCCUUGAUGUGUAGGAUAGGUGGGAGGCUUUGAAGCGUGGACGCCAGUCUGCGUGGAGCCAACCUUGAAAUACCACCCUUUAAUGUUUGAUGUUCUAACGUUGGCCCCUUACCGGGGUUGCGGACAGUGUCUGGUGGGUAGUUUGACUGGGGCGGUCUCCUCCCAAAGCGUAACGGAGGAGCACGAAGGUUAGCUAAUCCUGGUCGGACAUCAGGAGGUUAGUGCAAUGGCAUAAGCUAGCUUGACUGCGAGCGUGACGGCGCGAGCAGGUGCGAAAGCAGGUCAUAGUGAUCCGGUGGUUCUGAAUGGAAGGGCCAUCGCUCAACGGAUAAAAGGUACUCCGGGGAUAACAGGCUGAUACCGCCCAAGAGUUCAUAUCGACGGCGGUGUUUGGCACCUCGAUGUCGGCUCAUCACAUCCUGGGGCUGAAGUAGGUCCCAAGGGUAUGGCUGUUCGCCAUUUAAAGUGGUACGCGAGCUGGGUUUAGAACGUCGUGAGACAGUUCGGUCCCUAUCUGCCGUGGGCGCUGGAGAAUUGAGGGGGGCUGCUCCUAGUACGAGAGGACCGGAGUGGACGCAUCACUGGUGUUCGGGUUGUCAUGCCAAUGGCACUGCCCGGUAGCUAAAUGCGGAAGAGAUAAGUGCUGAAAGCAUCUAAGCACGAAACUUGCCCCGAGAUGAGUUCUCCCUGAGACUUUAAGUCUCCUGAAGGAACGUU
Molecule: ribosomal RNA, 1589 nt
Filed under: Klebsiella pneumoniae
Lineage: Bacteria; Pseudomonadati; Pseudomonadota; Gammaproteobacteria; Enterobacterales; Enterobacteriaceae
Description: partial 23S ribosomal RNA
Rfam family: Bacterial large subunit ribosomal RNA
Source: RNAcentral